AACCCACCACCGGCGACCUCGCUGCAGCCCCGUACCACCACAACCGGAGAGGACUUCGUAGAGGGUGACUUCUAACCUUAAAGUGGCCAAUCAAUUUGUGUACUCAAGAUUCAUCACAGGUUUUGCAUAAACUGUCUUGCAUCAGGGUGAUGGGAUUUGAGUGGAGAGUUGGUUAACCAGUUAGCUUAUUUCAUAACACAGAUUGAAUUUUAUUUUGGUGUUGGUUCCAUUACUUCCUAUUUUACUGGAUUUUGAAUAAGGGUCGUUAUGGUUCCAA
This is a long non-coding RNA of Chenopodium quinoa (quinoa), 277 nucleotides long. RefSeq lists it as uncharacterized. Lineage: Eukaryota; Viridiplantae; Streptophyta; Magnoliopsida; Caryophyllales; Amaranthaceae. The transcript has 3 exons. The record is from RefSeq and is a predicted model, not a curated record.